GAUGAACGCUAGCUACAGGCUUAACACAUGCAAGUCGAGGGGAAACGACAUCGAAAGCUUGCUUUUGAUGGGAGUCGACCGGCGCACGGGUGAGUAACGAGUAUCCAACCUGACUAUCACUUGGGGAUAACCUUGCGAAAGUAAGACUAAUACCCAAUGAUAUCUCUAGAAGACAUCGGAAAGAGAUUAAAGAUUUAUCGGUGAUGGAUGGGGAUGCGUCUGAUUAGCUUGUUGGCGGGGUAACGGCCCACCAAGGCAACGAUCAGUAGGGGUUCUGAGAGUAAGGUCCCCCACAUUGGAACUGAGACACGGUCCAAACUCCGACUGGAGUCAGCAGUGAGGAAUAUGGGUCAAUGCGCGAGAGCCUGAACCAGCCAAGUAGCGUGCAGGAAGACUGCCCUAUGGGUUGUAAACUGCUUUUAUAAGGGAAUAAAGUGAGAGUCGUGACUCUUUUUGUAUGUACCUUAUGAAUAAGGACCGGCUAAUUCCGU
This 491-nucleotide ribosomal RNA is filed under the name uncultured bacterium. Its description in RNAcentral is "partial 16S ribosomal RNA". It matches the Rfam family "Bacterial small subunit ribosomal RNA", at positions 28 to 506 of the family's 1533-position model. The record is from RNAcentral.